CUUUCGUUUUUUUUUUGGCUCUAAAAAAAUAACAUCUUACCUUAGAUAUUUCGAUAAUUUUUCUUUCAAAAAAGCCAUUUAAAAUUGCGCUUAAAUAUGUGCUAGUACAAAACCCGUAAACAAAGCAUCUAAAGGUAUGCAACACCUACUUUAUAUAAAGCGCGUAGAAAUAUGCAAUGAAAUAUUGACAUUAUAAAAUAUUUUUCACCAAAGCCAACAUCAACAAAUGCCCAAUAAUGUGGAUAGUAACAGAAAGUAAAUAAUCUUUGCCUACGUUCAGGCACAUUUCAGCAGAAAUUUUUAAAAACAAACCACAAAUAGUGAUCAAAAAUAUUAAAUAAAAAAUGUGCGUUUAAUACUUGCAACAGUGCUGUAGUAUCACCGUAAACAACAGUUAAAAAUAUUAAUUUCAUUCCACUUGUAAUUUAGUCGUAAGUGUAACAAUGUCUCUUUGCCAAUACAAUCAUCAAGUUGUUGUGGAAUUACAACACAAAUCAAAAUCACUACAACGGCCGCUAGUGCCACAAUGUUGUUGUUGAUUAUAGUUAAAAUUGCAACCAAUAACAAAGAAACCUAGCAAAUACAACGUAACAAUCAGUUUGGCUCCAUCCACUUUAACCUAGUAUUACUGUCGGCUUGAUUGCCGGCGCAACAGUAGCAGCAACAAUAUGGCUGCCGUUGCUGGCCUCUAUGGUCUCGGCGAGGAUCGUCAGCAUCGCAAAAAGCAACAGCAACAACAGCAUCAUCAGCAGGAGCAACGUGAACAAAAGGAGGAGCAAAAGAAGAUCGCCGAGCGGAAAUUGUUGCGUGAACAGCAACAACAUCUGCUAUCACGUGCCUCAUUUGAAGGGUCUUUACCCAAAUUAAGCAGUCAAGACGAAGAAGGGGGGGCAGGUCAUGGGUAUGGUGGGGGGCCACAACACUUUGAACCCAUUCCUCAUGAUCAUGAUUUUUGCGAAAGAGUCGUUAUAAAUGUAAGCGGGUUAAGGUUCGAAACACAAUUACGAACGUUAAAUCAAUUUCCGGACACACUGCUGGGGGAUCCAGCUCGGCGAUUACGGUACUUUGACCCGCUUAGAAAUGAAUAUUUUUUUGACCGUAGUCGGCCGAGCUUCGAUGCAAUUUUAUACUAUUAUCAAAGUGGUGGUCGACUGCGGAGACCGGUCAAUGUCCCUUUAGACGUAUUUAGUGAAGAAAUAAAAUUUUAUGAAUUAGGUGAUCAAGCAAUUAAUAAAUUCAGAGAGGAUGAAGGCUUUAUUAAAGAAGAAGAAAGACCAUUGCCGGAUAAUGAGAAUCAAAGAAAAGUCUGGCUACUUUUCGAGUACCCGGAGAGUUCGCAAGCCGCCAGAGUUGUAGCCAUAAUUAGUGUAUUUGUUAUAUUGCUAUCAAUUGUUAUAUUUUGUCUAGAAACAUUACCCGAAUUUAAGCAUUACAAGGUGUUCAAUACAACAACAAAUGGCACAAAAAUCGAGGAAGACGAGGUGCCUGACAUCACAGAUCCUUUCUUCCUUAUAGAAACGUUAUGUAUUAUUUGGUUUACAUUUGAACUCACAGUCAGGUUCCUCGCAUGUCCGAAUAAGUUACAUUUCUGCAGGGAUGUCAUGAAUGUUAUCGACAUAAUCGCCAUCAUUCCGUAUUUUAUAACAUUGGCGACCGUCGUCGCCGAAGAGGAGGAUACGUUAAAUCUUCCAAAAGCGCCAGUCAGUCCACAGGACAAGUCAUCGAAUCAGGCUAUGUCCUUGGCAAUAUUACGAGUGAUACGAUUAGUUCGAGUAUUUCGAAUAUUUAAGUUAUCUAGGCAUUCGAAGGGUUUACAAAUUUUAGGACGAACUCUGAAAGCCUCAAUGCGGGAAUUAGGUUUACUUAUAUUUUUCUUAUUUAUAGGCGUUGUACUCUUCUCAUCGGCGGUUUAUUUUGCGGAAGCUGGAAGCGAAAAUUCCUUCUUCAAGUCCAUACCCGAUGCAUUUUGGUGGGCUGUCGUUACCAUGACAACCGUUGGAUAUGGUGACAUGACACCCGUCGGUGUUUGGGGUAAAAUCGUGGGAUCACUGUGUGCCAUUGCUGGUGUCUUGACAAUCGCUCUCCCGGUACCAGUUAUCGUCAGUAAUUUCAAUUACUUCUAUCACCGCGAAACGGAUCAAGAGGAGAUGCAGAGCCAAAACUUUAAUCACGUUACUAGUUGUCCAUAUUUACCAGGUACAUUAGUCCCGUCGGGUUCUGGGGCAAAAUUGUCGGUUCGCUGUGUGUGAUCGCUGGUGUAUUGACCAUCGCACUGCCCGUCCCUGUAAUCGUCAGCAAUUUCAAUUACUUCUAUCAUCGCGAAACCGAUCAGGAAGAGAUGCAGAGUCAAAAUUUCAAUCACGUCACAAGUUGUUCAUAUUUACCUGGUGCAUUGGGCCAACAUAUGAAGAAGUCUUCUAUGUCCGAAUCAUCAUCUGAUAUAAUGGAUUUAGAUGAUGGCAUCGAUGCUACAUCAGGUUUGACUGAUCAUCCUGGCCGACAUUUAGCUCCAUUUUUGCGAGCACAGCAAUCAUUCGAAAAGCAACAAUUACAAUUGCAACAACAACAGAAUGGCUUGCGUGGCCAAACAAAUACACUGCAACUGCGUCACAAUAGUGCCAUGGCCGUCAGCAUUGAAACUGACGUCUGACUACUGGUAAAACACUUGGAAAACGGCCUCAAUUGGCAACGUGAAAAGCUGCGUUGGAUGCCAGAAACGUCAUCGAAAGCGGUCUAAAACCGCUUCAGUGCAAAAUGAAGAAUCACUGCGGUUGAUGAGUAAGCAAAUGUUGCAAAAAGUAUAAACUGAAAAUAAGUGAAGAAACCACAAAAAAAAAGAAUAAGAAACAACCAAAACCCAAAGUUAGCUCAUUGUUAGCAAUGAAAAUACAAAAAGCGAAUAAUUUUUUUAGAACACAUUUAGAAAAUAUCAUAUUUAGCUACAGAAAAUUUAACUAAAAUGCAAACCAACAAGCAGUGUAAGAAUUAUAAAAACCAAAACAUAACGAGAAAUUAUUAAAUGGGAACAAACUAUUAUAGAUUUAAUUUUUUUGUGUAUUAGCGGCGAUAUUAGUAAAACAAAUCAAACUAAAAACAAUAUGUAUAGCGAAACUCAUCGAGAUAAAGCCAUAAAACUAUUUAAGUUAAUAUUUGUUUUAGUAAAAUUUAUUGUUUUUAGUUUUUAUUGAAUCAUUUUUAAAUAAAAAAGAAGAAAAUAUUGAAAACAUACAAACAGUUGUGCAGAGUGCUGCUUAAUAUUGCUUAAUAAGCUCAAAAAAGGGCUGUAUUAUGAAAUAAAUCUCAGCUGUUGUUAAUGCCUAGUUUACAUUAUGCCAAUACAGAUGCCGAACGAAUAUAUGACUCGCUAGCAUAAAGUUUAUUUUAAUACGAUCAUGUAUUGUAAUUAUAAGAAUGACUAGCUUUAUAGGCAUAUUGCAACCAAAGCAUUAGCCAACAAUAACCUAAAGUGUUUUACUUAAGCUUAGGGCCGAAGAGAAAGAAAAGAAAAUUGGCAACAGUGUUAUAAAAUGGCUUAAAUUCACAAGUGUUCAGCAAGAGGAAGCUACUGAGGUGUUUAAGAAAUUCUGAGUCCGUUAUAACAUUUUAAAUGCGUUCAGUGUACAUUACGCGUUAGUGAAUUGUCAAAGUACUCCAGAGUGCAUACAAAAAUUUAGUAAAUUUUUAGAUCAUCUUUUGUCUCAAAUAUAAAGUAUUUUCACCAUAAAAUGGUGUUAAAAGAAUUUUUUUAAAGUAAAUUUCGCGUUUGUGAGAAUGAACAACAAAUAGAAGUUUAUGGCGCACACGAAAUGUACUUCUAACAUAUUUCUCUUUAAAAAUUAGUCUACUUUUUUUUAAAUAUAUUUUCGAAAACUCCACUUCUUUUGUUACCACUCUUUUUAUACCUCAACAGGUUAUAUUAAGUUUGCCACGAAGUUUGUAACACCCAGAAGAAAACGUCAGAGGCCCCAUAAAAUAUAUACAUAUGUAUAUAUAAAAUAUCAGCGUCGCGUGCUAAGUCGAUUUAGCCAUAUCUGUCUAUAUGUACAUAUAUACGCGAACUUGCCCCUCAGUUUUUGAGAUAUUGAUCUGUUUUUUUUCGCCAAGAAACUGUUCAUAUAUAUAGGAUAUAGUAGCUGCCAUACAAACUUACCGAUCAAAAUCAAGUUCUUGUAUAAAAACCUUUUUUAUUUGACGACAAAUCUUUAAAAAAUUUUACAAAGAUUAUUGUCUGAAACAACGCUACUAUCUCCGAAGAAAUUUUGCAAAUUGGAUAUUAUAGCAUAUUGCUGCCAUAUGUCUGACCGAUCAAACUCACGUCCUUGUAUUGAAAACUCUUUUAGUUGACAAGAUAUCUUCGAAACUCAAGGCAGCGCUACAAUCUCGGAACAUAACGCUCAGAUCGCACCAUUAUAGCUUAUAGGUGCCAUACAAACAGAACGAUCGCAAUCAAGUGUUUGUAUAGAAAAAUUUUUCAUUUGACGAGGUAUCUUCAAGAUAUUUAGCAAAGAUUAUUAUUCAAGGCAUUGCUACAAUCUCCGAAGAAAUAGUUCAGAUCGGUCUACUAUAGCGUAUAGCUGCCGUACAAACUGAACGAUCAAAAUCAGAAUCAUCAGAAGAUCUUUUAAUACCCUUUUAUGAUAUAAGAAAUUCAUCUGUAAAGGGUAUUAUAGCUUUGUUGCAGUCGAAGUUUUGUUUUUUCUUGUUUUACUAUUCUUUUUGUUUCAAAUUAUUAUUAUCUAUAAAUCUCGAAGCUCCAAAUAAUGUUUGUAUGUUUUCUAAAAUAUAUUUUCUCUCAACAAAAGUUAUUAACUAUAAUAUAACGCAUUUCAGUCAGUUACCCACACACUCACACACAUAUACCGCACACAAAUUCAUGCAUACAGCCAUAAGUACGAUAAAUUAAUCAAUAAAACUGCCGUUAUGUUUAAAAUAUAAAUAAAAAAUACAAUGAAAUACAAACAAACUGCUCGUACUCGUACAUACAACAACAAAUAAUAAAAUAUAGAAUCAAAAUAAAGUAACAAAGCCUAAUAAAUAGAUAAAUUGUCGAAACAAAAACAAAAAACACAAAGCGCAAAAGCGUCAAUUUCAAUGCCACAAUAAUGAAAUCUUCUUUUGUAAAUACAAAAACAAUAAAUUACUGCAAUACAAAACUAAUAGUCAACUGCAACAAACGCUAUUAAAAAAUUAAUAAAUAAAGUAUCAGUAAACUUGUAAAUUAUAAAACUACUACAAUUAUAGCCAACAUAUGUUGAUUAUAAAUACUUUUUUUUAGUUUUGACUUGUCUCUUAUUUGUCUUUAACAUUUCGUAAAGUAGUUUAGUACUCAGUACUUAGUAAAUGUGUUUAUUGUUGAAUUUUAGCAAAAAUAUAUUAAAAUCUUCCAAGAAUAUAAUUAAAUUAGUAUGCGUAGUGUAUAUGUAUGAGUGUAUAGCAUUACCCGAAACUCUUAUGUAACUCUUCCACUAUUAUAUUGUGUAUGUAUGUAUGUAUAACAAUGAUUGCAUCCAUUUAGAUGCUGCCUAAUAAAUAUUUGUGUUCAUGCUGUAAAUUUAGUUAAAAAAAUAUCAAAAAAAUAUAUGUAUUUGUAGCUGCUGAACUAUUUUUAGAGUUUGCUCUAAGAAUAUCAUAAAAACUUUUGUUUUCAUUAAGUUUUUUUUUUCGUUCACAAACAAAAAUAAGUUCCAUAAUUUUUUUUGAUUCGUUAAUGCUUCAAUUGUUCUAAAGUCUUACCCUACAUAAAUAAAGUUUCAUAGGAUAUAUAUACUUCGUUGCUUUUAAGCUUAAGUUAUUUAGACUUCUGGUAAGCAAAUCAAUUCGCUGUUUAAACAGACAUUAAUGAGAUGAACUAAAACUGGAACUUCAUCUGGAUUAAAUGUAUAAUUCGCAGAGAGUAAAAUAACGCUGAGCCGAGACAGUUGUAUGUAUUCUAGGCUCUACAAGAUACAUAAGUUUGAGUGCGUUCACACACGGACGCUUUUCGCGCUCAUUAUCGGAAAAUUCUCUUUUUGUAUAGGGUUAUACUCUUUUUCGUUUAUUUUCAAUUCAAAACUUUGAAUUUUGAAUUAUUCUGAGCCUAAGCUUCAUUUCUACAAUUACACAAGUUUCAUAUUCUCGCCUCUCUGUAAAUAAACCGAGAUCAAAUCGUUAUUCUUUUAAUUUAGUUAUAACUGGCAUCUAAUAUAUCUAUGCCAUAUUGACAGAUGUAUAUUCGAUUCUACCCUAAGAUCUUUUUCAAUUCUCUUUUUAAAUUGCUCAAAUAGGAUAUCAAAUAAAGACAGGUAGUAAAUUUCUUUAUUUUACAAAUAUUAUAUUAUGUUUCAACUAAUAAAUAACGUUUAACAAAAGUAUCUCAUUAAAUUACCGAGGUUAUAUAAAAGAGUAGCUAAGACCAUAGCGUCAAUUUUUGUCAUUGGUAAUAUAAGAAUACUUUUUCCAAAUAUUUUGAAUAUUCUUCUCAAACAAUAUUACUUUAAAAUCCGUAAGGUCCCUCUGAGCCGUCUUAAAGAACGCUUUUAUUUCCGAAAUAAGUUAGCUUCUGAUCACUUGUUUCUACAUAAAGCAGAAGUCUAUUUUAGUCCUAUUGCGUUUGAAAUAUCUUCGAAACAUUUAAUUAUGUAUGUAUAAAUUUAAUCACUGGAAACUUCUAUUUGGAAUAUAAUUCAUUUCAGCCUCUAAAGUAAUUGACUAAAUUUUACAAAAAUAUAUUUUUUAUAAAAAAUAAUAAUACUUUGGAUUCAUCAUUUGAAAGAUUUAUACAUUUUUGGAUUAUUUCAAACUUUAUGCAAUAUUUGUUUAUAUAUUUUGGAUAUUUUUAUUGUUGUUUUAAUAAAUACCUUUUGUAAAAACAAUAACAAUGUAUAUUUUCCAUAGUGUGGCUUAUAAAUAUAAUUUGCCUGUUCGUGUAAAGAACACAUAUGUAUGUACAUACAUAUGUUUACUUGUAAAUAUUUAUUGUAAAAAGUAUGACAAGAAAUGGACAAAAAGAAAAAAUAUAUGCAAAGUAAAAAAAAAUUAUGAAAAAAUGGAGAGUAAAUAAAAAAACAAUUUUGAAGUUAUCUAAAAGCUUUGAAUACCGUCCACGCCAAAAAUAAAUAAAAUACUUAUCAAACAAGUAUAAGAAGAGGAAGCAAGUAAAGAUAAUGCACAUACAUAUUUUGCUUUUUUUUUUAAGUAAAUGUGGUGAAAAUGCUUGAAAAUGUUAGGCGAAUAAAUUUAGGGUUUUAAUGCUAAAAAAAAUAUAUUUGAUUAAUUUAUUACUAUUAUUAUUAUAUUUUAAUUUUUGCAUAUUUAAGGGUUUUUAUAACUUUUAUUAUUUUAUAUAUUUAUAUUAUUUUUUUUUUCAAUUGCAAUAUUUAAUUUUUUUUUUAAGUCAUAGAGAACUUCUAAAAAAAUUGCUAAAAACGCCAUUUGAUGCAUCAGUUUAAUUACAUAAUUAGAAAAACAACAUAUCGAUAUAGAAGUUUUGUGUAAAUUUUUCGUUUAAUUUAUAAAAUCAAAAAUCAAAACCAAAAAAAAGCUAAAAAAAAAAACACAAAAGCUGUGUAAAUGAUAUCACACAAGAAUAAAACUCAAUUAUGAAAUGAUGCGUGUUUAUAUUCUUAUUCAAAUUAUUAUUGUAAAUCCUAGACAUCAAAUUAAAUGGAAAUGUGUAAUAAAAAUAAAUCAA
Molecule: non-coding RNA, 7669 nt
Organism: Bactrocera oleae (olive fruit fly)
Lineage: Eukaryota; Metazoa; Arthropoda; Insecta; Diptera; Tephritidae
Source: RefSeq, a predicted model, not a curated record